GUUGCUUCCAGCCUUUUGGCUAAGAUCUAAUAUUUGUUCUUAGCAGUUUAAUAUAUGAUAUGCCGUCCUCUGUCCAAAUUACAAUUUUUUUUUUUUUUUUUGAGACAGAGUCUCAUUAUGUCGCCCUCAGUAGAGUGUUGUUGAGUCACAGCUCACAGCAACCUGUAACUCUUGGGCUCAAGCAA
Small nuclear RNA from Nycticebus coucang (slow loris), 185 nucleotides. RefSeq annotates it as U2 spliceosomal RNA. The record is from RefSeq and is a predicted model, not a curated record. Lineage: Eukaryota; Metazoa; Chordata; Mammalia; Primates; Lorisidae. The transcript has a single exon.